Molecule: long non-coding RNA, 2310 nt
Organism: Brassica rapa (field mustard)
Lineage: Eukaryota; Viridiplantae; Streptophyta; Magnoliopsida; Brassicales; Brassicaceae
Source: RefSeq, a predicted model, not a curated record
AAUCUAAUGUUCUCGUUUAAAACCCAACAGAACACUGAUUCGGUAUUUCGUUAUGUUGACCAUUCUCAAGACUGAAAAAAGAAACAGAAAAGGAAAAAAAGAGAGAGAUCGAGAACGGUCUCUUUGCCGACAAAAGAUGAGACGAAGAAAAAUCGGUGUUCGAUGGUGAAAAACAAAGGUGUACGACUCUAUAUGAGUAAAUACGAAAUCAGAAUCUCGAAAUCUGCCGGUAUACCAUCAUUUACUCUCUCAUUAUCUUACGAUUCAUCUACUUGAUCUGAGAAGCCUCUUUAUAGAUAUGUUCAGAAGUAUCAGAUGACUUGUAUGUUGAUUCUGAUGAUCGAUCUUAGUCAAGCGGAUCUUCGAUUAGCACUGAAUUUGACCAUUCCCUAUUGGGGUCGGAAACACCUAAGCAAUCUCGAGCUUCUCAGAUGUCAAGCUCGUGAUGUCCAUCGGCUUGCUCAAAAUCUGAAGGGCGAUGUUCAUUUCUUUGACAACCAUGAAGUUGGCCUAAUGAAAUUUUGGGUUACUAUAUAAAAUUUGGGGUUACGUUAAAGUGAGGGCUUAUCAAAGGUCUUAUACUUUGCAAAAUGAUGAUCCGGUCUGUUUGCAAAAAAAAAAAGGAUGACUGAUUAAAAUACACAGAUACGUACCUUACUCAAGCAAUAUAGAAUUUUUAUGUCACAUAAUAAAUAAUUCAAGUACGUACACUUUUUGGUUUGUUCUGACGUUAAUGUUUUAAGUUUUGUAGGGUAAUUGCUAUGUAAACAAAGAGAUAAUUCUCAAGUACAUCAACUAAUGGCCAGACCAUUUUGUAAUCUGACCAAACUGGUAUAAUCUAUUUAUCUUCAUCCUCUUUUACGUCUAGUAUGUUUUUUUAAUCUUCAUCCUCUUAUACGUCUGGUCUGUACACAACAGUAUGUUGUUUUUAUACUCAUCCUCUGAUGGAAGGACAUGAGUCAAGUCGAACCCAAAGGACAUGAGGCAAAGUCCAACCAAAGCCUUACAGUACACAGAUAAGUCUCCGACUAUAGCUUUUUUUUGGGGUUAGAGAUAAUGAGUUGACUUAAUUAUAUAUACAAUGGAUGUGCAGGUCGUGCAGUUAAAGGUUUUGAGACAGAGCUUUAUUCAUCUGAACGACAUGGGACAGAGACAUAGCGGGAAAGCAAUUCGAACCCAUGUAAGUGCAUUUUAAAAGCUUCUAAUUGUAGUAAUUAGGCUUGGAACUGAAACUGGUAGUUAGGAAAAAAAAAACGGAGAUUGUUUGAUGAAUGUUCAUUGAACUAUAUUUGAAAAACAAGUAGAAAGUUAGGAUUGCUUACAUUCUCAUCCGCCAAGAUGAAUUCCAUGGUUUUCCCUGAUUGUUGAAUGUUUUGUUUCCAAGAAGUGUUUUUCGAUGGCCUCAAGUCAUUAAUGCCGAUGACUUUUGUUCAUUAGAAGCACUCAAUUUUCUUAUUUGCAUUUUAGAACCCAUUUUUUUGUUUGACGGCAUGAGUUUGAUUAGGAAGAGGCGUUGUUAUUUAUAAUAGGAAGAGGCGACAUGGAGAGGUGUUUAGGUUAUUGGAAAAACAUGUGGCAUACUCUAAAUCUUGGCGAGAUUUUCUAGUUAAUAUUAGUAAAUAUAGUUACCAAUUUGAAACCUAAGAUAUUAUUGUACACGCAAUAUAAUUAUGGAUUAUAUUUUUUGAAUCGUGAUUAUAGCUAAUUGUAUCAUCUUUUUUUCUUUCUAUAUUUGUUUUUACAUUUAUUAAAGGUAUCAAAUAAGGAAUAUUGGGGGUGAUUGCCAAAAUCUAUGAGUACCUUACUCUUUUAAAAUCGAACAAAUGAAAUAGGGAAUAUUAUGCUGUUACAAUUAUGAAUACUUGCUACAAUCUAGGAGGGCAUACUCUUUUUUUCUUUUUCUUUUUGGUAAAAAGGGCCUUACUCUUUUUAAACCGAACACUGAAAUUAGGGGAUGGGUUGAAAAAUAUACUUCGAAUAAAUUUGGUAUCAAAACUUUAUAAAAAUUAAAGGUUGUUUAAAAGAUAAAUAGAUUUUUUAAUUAACAUUUUUUGAAAAAUUGGGAAUAUGCUGUAGUACCUUUGAUUCAAAUUCGAUUUUCAUAUUUUUGGUUUGAUUAAAUUUUCCAUCAUUAUACAUUGCAUUUUGAUAAACGAAUCAUAACAUAUAGGUAGGUGUAAUGAAUCAUCUUAAUAAGCAUGUGAACAUUGAUUUAAUUUUCUGAGAAUCCAUACGUUAUAUUCAUCUUGGUUAGUGUUUUAUAGUUUUAAAUUAUUGUGUUAUGGAAUAUGGUUUGUUUAGAGUUUUAAC